Molecule: ribosomal RNA, 253 nt
Filed under: uncultured bacterium
Lineage: Bacteria
Description: partial 16S ribosomal RNA
Rfam family: Bacterial small subunit ribosomal RNA
Source: RNAcentral
UACAGAGGAGCCAAGCGUUGUCCGGAUUGACUGGGCGUAAAGCGCACGCAGGCGGACGCGCGCGUGGGGUGUGAAAUCUGGCCGCUUAACGGCCAGGCGCCAUCCCAUACGGCGGGUCUGGAGUGAUGCAGAGGGCGGUGGAAUUGCCGGUGUAGUGGUGAAAUGCGUAGAGAUCGGCAGGAACACCCAGGGGGAAACCAGCCGCCUGGGCAUCGACUGACGCUGAGGUGCGAGAGCGUGGGGAGCGAACAGG